Molecule: long non-coding RNA, 1117 nt
Organism: Rattus norvegicus (Norway rat)
Lineage: Eukaryota; Metazoa; Chordata; Mammalia; Rodentia; Muridae
Source: RefSeq, a predicted model, not a curated record
AGGCCUCGGCGGCGCUUCCGGCGACGUCGGUGCUUCGAGCCGAGUUAGCCCAGUGGCUGGCUGCCCUGUGGCCGACGAGGUGGGCUUUAACUCGGAGGAACACCGGUGGCCUCUCCACCCAGGCGUUCAAGGCGUCCAGAAAUGCUCUGUGCGCGAAGACGAUGCCAUUGUUUGGGGAGGUUGCACAGCCUUCGGAGCAGACCAACCAGCUAAUCCACUGUCUACUGCUCAGGAGUGAAGGCGGAUUCUAUGUCUCCUUCCACACAAGGUUAGAUUUAAGUGCUGGAUUUUUCUUGUACCAGAAGUUGGCUCUGUGUUGUGAACAUCCUCACUCAGGAGCCAGCUUGCUCCAGGCACCCUGUCUCCACCUUCUGCGUGCUGGGAGUGCCGGCUACUCUGCCUGCCUAUGAGUCCUGGGGAUGUGGCCGCUGGUGCACAUCCAUGCACAGUGUCGUGAGCCUUCUCUAGCUCCAUUUACCUUAAACUAGACAUUUGACACAUCCCAAACAAGUCUCAGAGGACAAGAGUCUGUCGUGGUGAGGAGGUAUGGUGCAUCAGGCGUGGUGACGGGAGCCGAGAGCUGAGGGAUCAUCUCUCCAGUUACAAACAACAGAGCCCAGAGAGAACUGGAAGUGGGACAAGGCUGUAAAUUCUCAGAGGCCACCAGUAGUGACACACUCUUUCUCCGCAACAGCAAGAUUCUGCAACAGCACUGCAGGGAGCCAUAUUGGAUUUGGGCCUAGCCGCUUUUUGAACUGCAUGGUUCAAAGUGACUAGGUGACUCUGGGCUGUUUGGCCACAGAGACUCACCCCUAAGAUGACUGCCUUAAGUCUUAAGAUUGUUGGAUGAAAGCCUCUCCCAUGAAUUUAUGGCACAGGAAGAUAACAUUCAAGGGAUGCCUCAGCUCCCUUAGCAGAUACCUGUUACCUCCUGAAUCAACACCCGGUGUCUCCACCGCCUGACCUCAUCGUCUACCGCCUGACCUCUUUGCCUCCAGCUAUCACUACCUAUAUCCGCACCUCCCCCUCCUCUGUGUUUCACAAAGGACACUCCCCCUACCUGAAAGCCUUAAAAGCUGUAACGUUCACCCCAAUAAAUGAGACCUUGACAACAGAA